Molecule: long non-coding RNA, 708 nt
Organism: Cygnus olor (mute swan)
Lineage: Eukaryota; Metazoa; Chordata; Aves; Anseriformes; Anatidae
Exons: 3
Source: RefSeq, a predicted model, not a curated record
UGUACUAGAGCUCUGAGAUAAUUAAGAGUUACUGAUAAUUGGAAUAAUCUUAUUACUAUUCUAUCUGUCUGUGCUGACCUGUCUUGCAAAAGACCAGAUGCCAUGGCAUUUUCAUUUAUUUUAACACAGAUGGAGUCAGUCAAGACUCUUUAAAUCAGCUCUUUAUUGAAACCUAAUUCUGCGAAGAAUGUAUUUGGAGUCUCUUAACAGUGAUGCUGAGAGCAUGUGUGGCAGCCACUGCGGACAAUGAACUGAUUGUCGUGUUGGAAAAACAACAGAUGCAGAUGGAUGAAGUGCCUGGUCUUAACCCUCUGCAUGUUUGUGUGUGCGUACAUGAGAGAAGAUCCCAGGGUUAUCCAGAUCUCCAAUCAAAGAGAAAAAAGGACAAAACCCGUGAAUGAAAUGGUGCCUACACUUUGGCCAAAGGCUUUACGUAACCAGGCAGGGAGUUGCUGCAAGGACAGGGCUGUGCAAUCUCGACUGCAUGGGAUGGGCAGCAGGAAGGCAGUGAUGGUGCAGUGACAGUGCCCAGUGCACCUCUUCCAGGCUCAGCAUCACAGCCUAUCCACUCUGUGCAUCCCCAUUGCCUGGUGAGGAAACUGUGUAAGUCUGAAGACAAAGGUUUUCCUAAACGCUAACACCAACAAUGCAAAAUCAAGCAAAAUCCCACCCUGUUCUUGAAUAUUUUGGUUAAAACAGAAUCUGGGG